RNAcentral lists this ribosomal RNA (1392 nucleotides) under Triticum aestivum (bread wheat). RNAcentral describes it as "partial small subunit ribosomal RNA". Lineage: Eukaryota; Viridiplantae; Streptophyta; Magnoliopsida; Poales; Poaceae. The record is from RNAcentral.
AUGAUUAUUCAAAAAAUUUAUGCUCGGCUUUCUCUAAAUGAUCGCACCAUGCUCGAUACUUCCUAUGUUGGUUCUUAUAUGCUGAAGACUAUUGAAUUCAAAUGGGACUUGUUGGAAAGAAUUAAACGAAACUCUAAAGAUUGGGGUUCCGACAAUGGUAAGGAGUCAGGUAUGACACCUAAGUUUGAUUGUGUUAAGUCUUUUAUGGAUACCCAUGCUUUUCGUGGAUUUAGCACUAAAUAUGGACUUGACUCUGAGAUAGUAGCUUCUUUCUGUGAAUCUUUUGCUACUCACGUUGAUCUCCCUAAGGAGAAGUGGUUUAAAUAUAAUCCUUCCAUUGAAGUAAAAGUAGUUGCACCUGUUAUAGUUGAAGAAAAGACUAUCACUUAUAAUGAUCCUAUUGUUCCUAAUACUUAUGUUGAGAAACCACCUUUCCCUGUUAGGAUAAAGGAUCAUGCUAAAGCUUCAACUGUUGUUCGUAAGAGUAAUACUAGAACAUAUACACCCUUUGAGAAAAUUAAAGUUGAACCUAGUAUUGUUAUGGUUAAAGAUAUCUUGGCUGAUAAUAUAGAUGGACAUGUUAUCUACUUCUGUGAGGAAGCUGCUAAUUUUGCUAGACCCGAUGUUAAGAUACAUAGACAUGUUGUAGGCAUGCCUGUUAUUUCUAUUAAAAUAGGAGAUCAUUGUUAUCAUGGCUUAUCUGAUAUGGGUGCUAGUGCAAGUGCAAUACCUAUUUCCUUAUAUGAAGAAAUUAUGCAUGAUAUUGCACCCGCCGAGUUAGAAGAUAUUGAUGUUACUAUUAAGCUUGCAAAUAGAGAUACUAUUUCACCAAUUGGGAUUGUUAGAGAUGUUGAAGUCUUGUGUGGGAAAGUUAAAUAUCCUGCUGAUUUUCUUGUUCUUGGUUCCCCACAAGAUAGCUUUUGUCCCAUUAUAUUUGGUAGACCCUUCUUGAAUACUGUCAAUGCUAGGAUUGAUUGUGAAAAGGAUGUUGUCACUAUUGGUCUGGGGAAUAUGACACAUGAGUUUAAUUUUGCUAAAUUCUGUAGACAACCCCAUGAUAAAAAAUUGCCUAGUAAGUAUGAAAUUAUUGGUAUUGCUUCUAUUGUCGUGCCUCCUACUGAUCCUUUAGAACAAUAUUUGCUAGACCAUAAAAAUGAUAUGUUUAUGAAUGAAAGAAGGGAGAUAGAUGAAGUGUUCCUUAAACAGGGUCCUAUUCUGAACACAACUUACCUAUUGAAAUCCUUGGGGAUCCUCCUCCACCCAAGGGUCAUCCCGUGUUUGGGAUCAAACCUUUACCUGAUACUCUUAAAUAUGCUUAUCUUGAUGAAAAGAAGAUAUAUCCUAUUAUUAUUAGUGCUAACCUUUCAGAGCAAGAAGAGGAAAGAUUAUUGA